GAUGAACGCUGGCGGCGUGCCUAAUACAUGCAAGUCGAGCGAACAGACGAGGAGCUUGCUCCUCUGACGUUAGCGGCGGACGGGUGAGUAACACGUGGAUAACCUACCUAUAAGACUGGGAUAACUUCGGGAAACCGGAGCUAAUACCGGAUAAUAUAUUGAACCGCAUGGUUCAAUAGUGAAAGACGGUUUUGCUGUCACUUAUAGAUGGAUCCGCGCCGCAUUAGCUAGUUGGUAAGGUAACGGCUUACCAAGGCGACGAUGCGUAGCCGACCUGAGAGUGUUGUCAGCCACACUUGAACUGAGACACGGUCCAAACUCCUACGGGAGGCAGCAGUAGGGAAUCUGCCGCAAUGGGCGAAAGCCUGACGGAGCAACGCCGCGUGAGUGAUGAAGGUCUUCGGAUCGUAAAACUCUGUUAGUAGGGAAGAACAAAUGUGUAAGUAACUAUGCACGUCUUGACGGUACCUAAUCAGAAAGCCACGGCUAACUACGUG
This 497-nucleotide ribosomal RNA is filed under the name uncultured bacterium. RNAcentral's name for it is "partial 16S ribosomal RNA". It matches the Rfam family "Bacterial small subunit ribosomal RNA", at positions 28 to 507 of the family's 1533-position model. The record is from RNAcentral.